Long non-coding RNA from Pezoporus occidentalis (night parrot), 1352 nucleotides. RefSeq lists it as uncharacterized. The transcript has 6 exons. Lineage: Eukaryota; Metazoa; Chordata; Aves; Psittaciformes; Psittacidae. The record is from RefSeq and is a predicted model, not a curated record.
UUAACAUCAUGAAAAAUAGUUAUUUGAGAAUAGAAGCAAUUCUGCUGUAUUUAAUAGUAAUUUAAAGAUUAUUCUUAUAGUUCUUUGGAUAGAUCUUUAAAGAAAGCUAUAUGCAAGCCUGGUAGGCGUUUGUUUCCAUUGCUUCUCACUCAGGUCUUCCCUGAGGCCAGAUGCUUGUUUUUCCGAAGAAGAACAUUUUAUAUAAUACUUUAACAACUUUCACACUAAUCUCUGCAGGUUUAUGCUGCUUUAAAGAACAAAUGGGAUAAUGAUAAAAGUAAUAGGCUUUUGCUGCACUGAAUAAACCAUGGGGAAUGAACUGUUGCUUCUGGUAGCGAUGUCCCCAAUAGGGAGCUCUGAACCUCACUGGGAGCUGUGGCAGAGAGCUUCCUGGCUGCAUUCCCAUGAAGAGAGGGGUGUUUUUAUGGUGGUGAGUUGUCUGUUUUCCUAAUAAAAGGAAGCCUUAUCUUCUGGCUUUGCAUUUCCUUACAUAUUCCCACAUGAGUUUUUUUCUCAGGCUUUAAACUAAUGAGCUUCUCUUUACCACAGAUCUCUGACAUCUACUGCUAGUGCUCCCUGGAGAACAUGGUCUCAAAAGUGAACUGUGUUUCUGGGUGUGUACGGACUUCAGUCCAUACAACCAUUCCCACAGCUUCAGAUGAGCAGCCUAAAAUAAGUUCAGUGGGACUUCUUGGUGUGUGCGACUGCGGGACCAGGAUUUGGUGCCCUAAAGUUGGAAGGGACCUCAAAGAUGAUCUAGUUCCACGCCUUGCCAGCUGAUACAAAGGCAGAGUGCCAGAAGACUAUAACCAGAAGUGGAUUGCUGGAUGAUGUUUAUUAUCAUGUGUUACUUUACCACGUCUCCACUUAUCCACAUUCUCAGCACGUCCGCAAUCUGUGCCGCUUUUCCUUCCUUUUGGAGCUGAAGAAUGCCUGGGAAAAGUUUACUUGGACUUGCAUUGUUCCCUCCCUCUUUUUUUCUGCUGAGACUGCAGUUGUUCAGGGAUGUUCAUGGUAAGCUUUACUUCUAAGCAACUUCUACAGUGGCCAUGGUCACCAAUGGAUUGACACCUACUCGAGCAUCACCUUGGGAGGAUUGUGUUGGAGCAACCUGGGCUCUUUGGUAAUACAGGACAUUGGCAGCUGUAGCAGAAAACAGGGUUCUCUUAACAAAUGACAGGAACAGGGGGAUAAUGCCAGUGUGAAAUCAGUAACCACAUAUAAACUUCUCAUGGAGAUCAGCUGGGACCUCAUGGCAGAAACCUCAUUUAAAACAACCGCUAAUGACUUCACCUUGGGCCAAGUCACAGCACAGCAGCCACCUCCUCCUCCUCCUCCAGCCCUGCUGGGAG